Non-coding RNA from Microcebus murinus (gray mouse lemur), 1545 nucleotides. The record is from RefSeq and is a predicted model, not a curated record. NCBI's taxonomy places the organism in Eukaryota, Metazoa, Chordata, Mammalia, Primates, Cheirogaleidae.
AUCUCUUUGUGAUUUCACAUUUCUACAUUACCUUAUGUUUCUACAUGAACAACCCUUCUUGAAGAGCUAAAUGCCAAUUGUCUAGGAGGAGUUUCUUCAUCUUUGUGUUCAGUUCUUCUGCUGCCAUUUUCUCAGAAUUUGCAGUCAUUUGUUGAAGACCAGUACUUGUUUGGCUAUAUGGAUAUUGGACCUGGACUUUAGAGAUGGGGCACUUGGCAAGACUCCCAGAACAUUCACCCCAUCACUCUGAGAAGAACAAUGAGUGUGGACUACAGAUCCUUUAUUGAAUUUAAAGUUCCCCACAGCGCACUGCUUUUGACAAUCACCCAUGGAACAGAGUACCUUUGUAGAAGUCUGGGAGUCUAGCAGAGAAGUUACAGCACACUGUUGGAGCAAAUAUUCAGAGAAUAAAUGCAUUUAAAAGGGUAAGAAAAACAGUUUUUACUUUACCUACAUCACCCUUCCCCCAGGGUUGUACAGCUCAGUGCCCAGAGAGACCUCCUCAGCUCAUAAUUCUUCCUUAGCCCAUAAAGUGAGAAUGUAGUGCAGAAUACUGCCCAGGAGGCUCACGUCUUUCUUGUCCCACCAAGAAUACUGGGCGGAUUCGCUUGGCUGAGUUGCUAGGAGAGGCUAGGAGCAGUGAAGAGAGGUGGGGACUCACAGCAACUAGGCCUCAAAGUUGAUAAAGGCUGUAUAUCCUACUAACUGCUUCUUGAGUUUUAUAGGGAGACUUGCCCAUGAGCCAGUUGGGAUGCCUUACCUGCAGACCACCCCCAACUCUUGCACAAGAGCUCCCAAUGCUCCAUACAACUCUCCCCUAUAAUUGACUCCCUGAACAUACCCCUCCCAAAUUGCAAGUGGAAGUCUUUGUAGAUGGUUUACAAGAAUGUGCAGUCAGCCAGCUUGAUUCAGCAGGAUUGGGAAAAGAUACAAAAAUUUGAGCUGUCACGGCACCACCCAAAGGAAAACAAAUUGGAGACUUUCAAAACCCAGCCUGGAUUUGUGACAUUGAGAGAAUGCAUAUGAUCUUAAGAUUCCCUUCCACCCCCAAAGAGUGAACAACAGUAGAGUGGGCACAUCCAUAGAAAAUGUUCUAAGAGAGCCUCAGAAUCACUAGCUGGGCUGACUGGUGAAGAUAUUUCUUUCCUAAAGCCAGCCAGUAAAGACUGGAGGAGGUUAUGACUUCUCCAGAUGUGAAGACAGCAAUGCAAGACUUCAAGGAACAUGAAAAACCGAGGGAACAUGACAACAUCAAAGGAACACAGUAAUUUUCCAAUAACUGGCACCAAUGAAAUGAAGUUAUUCCAUUCAAAGAAUUCAAAAUAAUUGUUUUAAGAAAGCUCAGCAAGCUAAAAGAGAAUACAAAUAUACAACUCAAUGAAAACAGGAAAACAGCACAUAAAGAAAAUGAGAAGUUCAACAAAUUACCACAAACAGUGCCUUACCAAGGGUGGGGCAGGACAGGUCCUGUCCUAGAGCAGCAAUGAGGGGAUGCAUUGUCUCUAUAAAGUUGAAAAAUAACAAAACCGACUACAGUUUGGUCUG